RNAcentral lists this transfer RNA (72 nucleotides) under Anaplasma platys. Its description in RNAcentral is "tRNA-Gly". It matches the Rfam family "tRNA". Rfam says of the family: Transfer RNA (tRNA) molecules are approximately 80 nucleotides in length. Their secondary structure includes four short double-helical elements and three loops (D, anti-codon, and T loops). The record is from RNAcentral. Lineage: Bacteria; Pseudomonadati; Pseudomonadota; Alphaproteobacteria; Rickettsiales; Anaplasmataceae.
GCGGGUAUAGCUUAGUGGUAGAGUAGCAGCCUUCCAAGCUGCCUGGGUGGGUUCGAUUCCCAUUACCCGCUC